Molecule: long non-coding RNA, 249 nt
Filed under: Rosa chinensis
Lineage: Eukaryota; Viridiplantae; Streptophyta; Magnoliopsida; Rosales; Rosaceae
Description: sRNA RchiOBHm_Chr4g0416521
Source: RNAcentral
AUGAUCUUUGGAGAUGCUCUGAGCACCUCUGACUUGCAGAUAUAUGGGUACAAAAUGGCACUGUGGGCAGAGCAUUUAGGACUUGUUGAAGAAUGUUUCAAUCAGCCAGAGUCUUGAAUGUGUUCAAAUGGUAAGGUCAUUGGGUGAGCAGAAAUGGAGUCAAUACUAGAGCUUCUGCAGGGUCCUUGUCCAUCAUGUGUAGGAUCGAUGACUUAAGAGAUCGAAAGACUGCUUAUCAUCUUUGCCUAC